Paramuricea clavata is the source of this 455-nucleotide non-coding RNA. The record is from the annotation of a GenBank genome assembly. NCBI's taxonomy places the organism in Eukaryota, Metazoa, Cnidaria, Anthozoa, Malacalcyonacea, Plexauridae.
CUGUGUACUAGCCAAGCAUCUGUGAUUAGGCCAAGCGUCUGUGGUGAGCUUUGGAUAUAUGGACAUAGCCUACAUGGGCAGGGUUUGUUUUCAUAUUUUGGCUAGAAACAUUGAAAUAAUCUUAAAAUCUACACAAACACCUAUUUUAUUUCCAUUUGACAAGCUUUACUAAAAUAAAUCAUGAAUAUCUUGAAUAAGUACAUGACAAACUUUCUAUUUUUUAUCUUAUAUAAAUAAGGACAAUAACACCUUGAAAUAGUGGAUUAAAUAAAGUAAACCAUUUAGUCUUUACGACUUUACUUUUAAAGCUUAUCACCAUUUACUUUGCCCACUACAAAAAUUGCUUGAAAUAUCUUUUUAGACAAAUUUUGUACCAAACCCGAUGGGCUUUUUGAAAUCAUAAGUCAAAAUACAGGAGAUUUUAUAGUGUUCAAAUAUUUUAUAGUGUUGCUGCG